This 518-nucleotide ribosomal RNA is filed under the name [Candida] sp. RNAcentral's name for it is "Candida sp. (in: Saccharomycetales) partial large subunit ribosomal RNA". It matches the Rfam family "Eukaryotic large subunit ribosomal RNA", at positions 67 to 666 of the family's 3401-position model. Lineage: Eukaryota; Fungi; Ascomycota; Saccharomycetes; Saccharomycetales. The record is from RNAcentral.
UAAAGGGAUGCCUUAGUAACGGCGAGUGAAGCGGCAAGAGCUCAAAUUUGAAAGCGAAUUUUUUCGCAUUGUAAUUUGAAGGCCCGUGUCAACCUUAUAAUAUUCAAGUCCUUUGGAACAAGGCGCCAUUGAGGGUGAUAGCCCCGUGGAAUAUUGUUGGUGACUACGGCACGGAGCCAACGAGUCGAGUUGUUUGGGAAUGCAGCUCAAAGUGGGUGGUAAACUCCAUCUAAAGCUAAAUACCGGCGAGAGACCGAUAGCGAACAAGUACAGUAAUGGAAAGAUGAAAAGCACUUUGAAAAGAGAGUGAAACAGUACGUGAAAUUGUUGAAAGGGAAGGGCUUGCAAGCAGACACGGUUUACCGGGCCAGCAUCGGUAGAGAAAAAGUGAAAAGGGGGGAAGGAUGUGGCGCUUUUGGCGUGUAAUAAUUCCCUCUAAAAGCUUUUUUUCUCCCGAGGCCAGCAAUCCCUUGAAUGUGGGCGUAAGGUUGGCAAGCGGCCGGUCUGAAAAAAGGGAC